ACGCCGGCGGCAUGCCUAACACAUGCAAGUCGAACGAGACCUUCGGGUCUAGUGGCGCACGGGUGCGUAACGCGUGGGAAUCUGCCCUGGGGUGCGGAAUAACUCGGAGAAAUCCGUGCUAAUACCGCAUAAUGUCUUCGGACCAAAGAUUUAUCGCCCUGGGAUGAGCCCGCGUAGGAUUAGCUAGUUGGUGGGGUAAAGGGCCUACCAAGGCGACGAUCCUUAGCUGGUCUGAGAGGAUGAUCAGCCACACUGGGACUGAGACACGGCCCAGACUCCUACGGGAGGCAGCAGUGGAGAAUAUUGGACAAUGAGCGAAAGCCUGAUCCAGCAAUGCCGCGUGAGUGAUGAAGGCCCUAGGGUUGUAAAGCUCUUUACCCGGGAUGAUAAUGACAGUACCGGGAGAAUAAGCUCCGGCUAACUCCGUG
This 428-nucleotide ribosomal RNA is filed under the name uncultured bacterium. Its description in RNAcentral is "bacterial SSU rRNA". It matches the Rfam family "Bacterial small subunit ribosomal RNA", at positions 33 to 507 of the family's 1533-position model. The record is from RNAcentral.